Molecule: long non-coding RNA, 381 nt
Filed under: Vulpes vulpes (red fox)
Lineage: Eukaryota; Metazoa; Chordata; Mammalia; Carnivora; Canidae
Description: lncRNA (ENSVVUG00000013992.1)
Source: RNAcentral
UUCUAAUAUUAUAUGUUUCUAAACAGUUGUUCCAAAAAGAAUGUUUUUAAAAUUAAAUUUUUCCUUAGGUAAUAUAUACAUGUGAUAGAAAAUUGAAGAUACCGAAGGGUGUGUGCUAAGAAACAAGCCUCUCUGAACUCUGUCUAUAGGGGAUGCACUUCACUUUCAGACCUUGAUCUCAAAAAUACUCAUCUGGACAAAGAUGGUUGCAUAGAUGGUCAUUUGGAAAGAGAUUACUGGAAGACAUUGCUGCUCUGUGAAUCUGGGAUCCCACUUUUCCUGAACAGAACAAUUGAUAGCAACAAAGCUUCCUUCACACUGAAGACCAGCUCCAGGCAGGAAGAAAUGAAGCACUCCAGGUAAUAAAAUAUAUGCAAGAGA